GUAUAAUGGGUCAGCGACUUAUAUUCUGUAGCAAGGUUAACCGAAUAGGGGAGCCGGAGGGAAACCGAGUCUUAAUUGGGCGUUAAGUUGCAGGGUAUAGACCCGAAACCCGGUGAUCUAGCCAUGGGCAGGUUGAAGGUUGGGUAACACUAACUGGAGGACCGAACCGACUAAUGUUGAAAAAUUAGCGGAUGACCUGUGGCUGGGGGUGAAAGGCCAAUCAAACCGGGAGAUAGCUGGUUCUCCCCGAAAGCUAUUUAGGUAGCGCCUCGUGAAUUCAUCUCCGGGGGUAGAGCACUGUUUCGGCUAGGGGGCCAUCCCGGCUUACCAACCCGAUGCAAACUGCGAAUACCGGAGAAUGUUAUCACGGGAGACACACGGCGGGUGCUAACGUCCGUCGUGAAGAGGGAAACAACCCAGACCGCCAGCUAAGGUCCCAAAGUCAUAGUUAAGUGGGAAACGAUGUGGGAAGGCCCAGACAGCCAGGAUGUUGGCUUAGAAGCAGCCAUCAUUUAAAGAAAGCGUAAUAGCUCACUGGUCGAGUCGGCCUGCGCGGAAGAUGUAACGGGGCUAAACUAUGCACCGAAGCUGCGGCAGCGACACUAUGUGUUGUUGGGUAGGGGAGCGUUCUGUAAGCCUGUGAAGGUGUGUCGUGAGGCAUGCUGGAGGUAUCAGAAGUGCGAAUGCUGACAUAAGUAACGAUAAAGCGGGUGAAAAGCCCGCUCGCCGGAAGACCAAGGGUUCCUGUCCAACGUUAAUCGGGGCAGGGUGAGUCGACCCCUAAGGCGAGGCCGAAAGGCGUAGUCGAUGGGAAACGGGUUAAUAUUCCCGUACUUGGUGUUACUGCGAAGGGGGGACGGAGAAGGCUAUGUUGGCCGGGCGACGGUUGUCCCGGUUUAAGCGUGUAGGUGUGUGUUCCAGGUAAAUCCGGUUCACUUUAACACUGAGGCGUGAUGACGAGGCACUACGGUGCUGAAGCAACAAAUGCCCUGCUUCCAGGAAAAGCCUCUAAGCAUCAGGUAACAUCAAAUCGUACCCCAAACCGACACAGGUGGUCAGGUAGAGAAUACCAAGGCGCUUGAGAGAACUCGGGUGAAGGAACUAGGCAAAAUGGUGCCGUAACUUCGGGAGAAGGCACGCUGACACGUAGGUGAAGUGAUUUACUCAUGGAGCUGAAGUCAGUCGAAGAUACCAGCUGGCUGCAACUGUUUAUUAAAAACACAGCACUGUGCAAACACGAAAGUGGACGUAUACGGUGUGACGCCUGCCCGGUGCCGGAAGGUUAAUUGAUGGGGUCAGCGCAAGCGAAGCUCCUGAUCGAAGCCCCGGUAAACGGCGGCCGUAACUAUAACGGUCCUAAGGUAGCGAAAUUCCUUGUCGGGUAAGUUCCGACCUGCACGAAUGGCGUAAUGAUGGCCAGGCUGUCUCCACCCGAGACUCAGUGAAAUUGAACUCGCUGUGAAGAUGCAGUGUACCCGCGGCAAGACGGAAAGACCCCGUGAACCUUUACUAUAGCUUGACACUGAACAUUGAGCCUUGAUGUGUAGGAUAGGUGGGAGGCUUUGAAGUGUGGACGCCAGUCUGCAUGGAGCCGACCUUGAAAUACCACCCUUUAAUGUUUGAUGUUCUAACGUGGACCCGUGAUCCGGGUUGCGGACAGUGUCUGGUGGGUAGUUUGACUGGGGCGGUCUCCUCCUAAAGAGUAACGGAGGAGCACGAAGGUUGGCUAAUCCUGGUCGGACAUCAGGAGGUUAGUGCAAUGGCAUAAGCCAGCUUGACUGCGAGCGUGACGGCGCGAGCAGGUGCGAAAGCAGGUCAUAGUGAUCCGGUGGUUCUGAAUGGAAGGGCCAUCGCUCAACGGAUAAAAGGUACUCCGGGGAUAACAGGCUGAUACCGCCCAAGAGUUCAUAUCGACGGCGGUGUUUGGCACCUCGAUGUCGGCUCAUCACAUCCUGGGGCUGAAGUAGGUCCCAAGGGUAUGGCUGUUCGCCAUUUAAAGUGGUACGCGAGCUGGGUUUAGAACGUCGUGAGACAGUUCGGUCCCUAUCUGCCGUGGGCGCUGGAGAACUGAGGGGGGCUGCUCCUAGUACGAGAGGACCGGAGUGGACGCAUCACUGGUGUUCGGGUUGUCAUGCCAAUGGCACUGCCCGGUAGCUAAAUGCGGAAGAGAUAAGUGCUGAAAGCAUCUAAGCACGAAACUUGCCCCGAG
RNAcentral lists this ribosomal RNA (2209 nucleotides) under Salmonella enterica. Its description in RNAcentral is "partial 23S ribosomal RNA". It matches the Rfam family "Bacterial large subunit ribosomal RNA", at positions 610 to 2803 of the family's 2925-position model. Lineage: Bacteria; Pseudomonadati; Pseudomonadota; Gammaproteobacteria; Enterobacterales; Enterobacteriaceae. The record is from RNAcentral.